GCAACAGUCAGCAAGGGACGACCAACAGAUGUCAUCUACCUGGCCUUCUGUACAGUCAUCUACCUGGCCUUUGAUACAGUUCCUCAUGACUGCCUUAUCUCCCAGUUGGAGGCAUAUGGGCCUGAAGGGUAGACUUAUUGGUGGGCAAGGAACUGGCUGGAUGGGCACAGACAGGUUGUGACCAAUGGCUCUAAGUCCAGGUGGAUGCUGGUGAUGGGUGGUGUCCCUCAGGGCCCUGUUUGGGACUGAUUCUCAUCAGUAUCUUCAUCAAUGAUAGAGUGGAGUCAGGUGCAUCCUCAGAAGGUUUCCAGAUGACACAAAACUGAGCACAACAGAAGGAUUAAGACAACAGAAGGAUUGGUUUCCAUCCUGAGACAUCCUGACAAACUUGAGAGGCAACAGGUGGUCAGAGGAUCUGAGGGCCAAUUGCUGGAGCACCUAAGGCCAGUCCCUGGAGACAUCCACAGUGUGUGUGUCUUGGUGUGCAUCAGAGUCUGCACCAGCAGUGGGCCUGGCGUUACAUAUCUCUGCUGCUAACAGGAGAGCUAACAAUACAGUUGCUGGUUCAACUGGAUAUUUAAGGGUGUGACCUAGUGGAAUGGCAGCAUUUCCUGGAGCAUGAGAGGAAAUCUAAACCAUUACAAAACCAGGGAGGCAGGAGCAUCAGCUGUAUUCCUCUAUGCAUCUAUAUACUGAUGUACAAGAAAUACUUCCAAAAAUAACUCCUUGGAAGAUUCUGUAUAAUUUGUUUGCCCUUUUGUGCCUGUUUAAUAUAUUUCAAUCUUUUCAGUAUUUCCAAUAUUUACAUCUGGCAAAUGUAUGUGUACCUUUCUGAGUGUAGAAAGUGGUAAGAAAGCCAUCAAAACACCACUGUCAUUACUGCAUCUCUAUAGAGCAUUUUCUCAUGAAGGAUUUUAGUUAGAAGCUUCUAAAAUUGCCUUUAUGCAAUUUUAUUUCCUUAAGUAUAAUAAUAAAAAAAUAAAAAUAAAAGUAUUUGGUUUACUUCCCAAAGCUAAAAACACAGCAUUUUUGCUCUUGCACAGUAAGAAAUUAAAUUAAAAGUAUGUAUAAUUUUCAUUAAACACACUCUGGUGCUGUAUACUUUUAUCUUCUGUUCAGUGUUGAUUGCUGCCUUCUAACUCUAUUUGUAGGUAAACAAUGUUUUCUUUUUGUUAGAGAUUAAAGAAAUCCAGCAGGGUGUGAGAACAUAAAGAUUAAUUUUCAACUUAGAUUAAUGAUGAAUGUUCCUGUAAACAACAAAGAUCCAGUAAGUAGACAAUGCAAUACUGGAAGAAAACUGUGCACAAAGUGUCACUGCAGUAAGGCAUCCUAUUACAUAAAUAGUCAAGAGAUAUUUUAUCCCUUUUAAACAUAUAUUUUAGCAAAGUAAUUGACAAUUACUGAUUGGUUGUGAAAUAUUAGAAACAAAUUUAUAUACCUAUAAAAUUUUCAUUUAAAUAAAAUGUACACUUAUUCAUGUGACAUAUAUGUACGAUUCUGUUUAUUAACAUUAUGAUUCAUUUACACUGUAUGCAGUGCAUAUUACACUGCAUGUUUUAUCGUCACAAGUAUGCAAAAUGAAAUGGUAGUUAAGUGUUCUUGCAAAGGCUACUUAGCAUUUCUGAAUACAAAUGCUAUGAUGAUUCAUAUUCCACUGUUGGGAAUGUCUCUGUGCCCCAGUUUUGUCAGCUGGCUUUGGAGAUAAUUCCAAACUCUUCACUAGGCCCAAUACUACUUUUUACUACAUACCCAUGUCCUGCAGUCCUGCCAACUUCAGACACAUCAAUGUCAUGGUUUCGACAUGGUGACCGUGGCUCAGAUUCACAGUCAUCUUCGUCGGAAUAGUCUCCACAGUCAUUAUCUACAUUGCACACAAGUCUUCGCUUUAUGCAUCGACCUGAUCAAGGAAUAAAACAUUGCCUGAAUGCAUUUUUAUCAAGAUGGACUUUAAAUGGCACCCUCAGCUACUCUUUAUUAAGAUCGUCCUCUGUGUAUAUUUCUACUGUUGUCUUGAGGGACUAAAAUCCUAUGCUCUGCCACUUUCAAGUGAAAAAACCUGCAUACUACUGUUAUAUGUAAGAUAGCAGGAUGACUGAGAAAAGUAAGUUGCAGGAGAACUGCUGGCACCUGAAGAAAAUUGUUGCAUCCUAGACUGUUCUAUAGUGAAGUUCAAUUGUUUGGUUGGUUGGGGUUUUCUUAUUUGUUUUAAGAGAACACAGGGAAAUAUCAAUUCAAAAUCAACAAAAAAUUCUUUCUAAAUAAUUUAAAUGGUUGGUGUUUGGACUAUAUUAUUUAAAUAAUACGGACAUGUAGUAUCCAAAACUGUAGUGAUUUGUGCUCUAAAGAAACAGGGAAGUAGUAACUUUCCUGAGUUUACAUAUCACAAGUUUUACAAAGAUGAUUUUUUUUUUCUUUCUACAGAAUUUAAAGACUUUAGUAAAUUAGCUGUAGUAUAAUAAAUCAACACUUUGAUAUUGUCAACCACACCUGUAAAUGCCACACAAUCUAUGUGAACUAGUAGUUAAAGGUUUACUUUCUACUUUUAAAUUGUUUUAUUUGCACUUUUCAGUGUUUUAGUUAAAAGCAAUACAAAAAAUGGCUUGGAACUUCAAAUUCAUUUACCAUCUUUCUGGUUUUGUUUUAACUGGUUUUAGUACUAUAAACUUUUCCUACUUUAUUUUGAUUUCUGAUGAAUCUUGAGCACUACAUUCAUAUGCCUUGUAUCACUUUACAAAUUGUAUCUUAUUUUGGAUCUAGAUGCAUGCUGGUCUCCAAAUAGCAUCUAUUGUGUCAGUUGGAUUGGUAAACUUCCAUAUCCAUUCUGUUAAGAUUCCCUAGUUCUAGUUUUUUUUUCCUGGUGAUUUUUCAUAAAACCUAGUGAUCCAGCAGCAAGUGGGGCAAUUAAGCUAGAAGAAAGGAUAUGGUCAGUAUGGUCAGCUUCUAACCAUGGAGUAGAAGUUACAGAAGAAUUUAGGCAUGAAUUAAAAUGGAAGAUGAGAGGAAUGUAUUCCUUCUUAAGUGGUUUUGCUGCUGUGGUUUUGGCAUUGUGGUUUUGAGCCCACCUGUCCAUGGACUGUUUCUAAGUGCUAGCAAGAGGCUGAUGUAACUUAUUCACAGAACUAAAAUGUGGUUUCUGAGUUACUGCUUUACUUGCCAUGGCAUGAAAACAAAACCCACCUGAACUGCACUGAUAGUCAGCACCACAGUUUGGUUCUGGUUCUUCAGGACAGGCUUUGCUGGGUUUACAGAUUUGUGUGUCUCCUAGGGCCUCCAGACAUGCUUUUCCACCAAACUGCCCAAAUCUUUCAAUACGUCUGGAACGAAACUUGAAAGAAAAAUAACACUAUUAAUAUUGCUCAGAGAGAAAAGAGAACUCUACCAGAACUUCAGGGUUUCCAGCUGAACUUAGUGCUUUUCAAAACUAAACACCUUUGGUGAAAUUUUUGUUUAAAAUCCUAAGGCAGAAUUAAUGAAUAAAAUAAAAUUGAAAUAGUAAUUAUGAUUAAUAAUACUUAGUAUGUAAAG
Long non-coding RNA from Passer domesticus (house sparrow), 3525 nucleotides. RefSeq lists it as uncharacterized. The transcript has 3 exons. The record is from RefSeq and is a predicted model, not a curated record. NCBI's taxonomy places the organism in Eukaryota, Metazoa, Chordata, Aves, Passeriformes, Passeridae.